RNAcentral lists this unclassified non-coding RNA (335 nucleotides) under Hevea brasiliensis (rubber tree). Lineage: Eukaryota; Viridiplantae; Streptophyta; Magnoliopsida; Malpighiales; Euphorbiaceae. The record is from RNAcentral.
AGCACUUGGCCACUUGAAGAAAGAACCCAGAUGAGCAGAUAGAUCAUCAAUCCGAAUGUGUUCAUCAUCCAUAGAAUGCCUCGUUCCAAUGUUGGCAUAGCUACCAGAGCGAAUGCUCGGAAAAGACUCAACAGCAGAAGAGUCAAUAGCUACUUCUUUCAUGUUUUCCAUGCGACUCACAGCCAUUAAAGAAGAUAAACAGAGAAAAUUCAAGAAAUCAAGAAUAACUCCUUUGGACGCAGUUAUAGGGUUUCGUAUUCCGAUUCUCUUGCUCUCGCGCGCUCUCUCUCUUCUUUCUGGGGCGUCUGUGAAUUGAGUAACAACGUGAAGCGAAA